GACGAACGCUGGCGGCGUGCCUAAUACAUGCAAGUAGAACGCUGAAGGGAGGAGCUUGCUCUUCUUGGAUGAGUUGCGAACGGGUGAGUAACGCGUAGGUAACCUGCCUUGUAGCGGGGGAUAACUAUUGGAAACGAUAGCUAAUACCGCAUAACAAUGGAUGACACAUGUCAUUUAUUUGAAAGGGGCAAUUGCUCCACUACAAGAUGGACCUGCGUUGUAUUAGCUAGUAGGUGAGGUAACGGCUCACCUAGGCGACGAUACAUAGCCGACCUGAGAGGGUGAUCGGCCACACUGGGACUGAGACACGGCCCAGGCUCCUACGGGAGGCAGCAGUAGGGAAUCUUCGGCAAUGGGGGCAACCCUGACCGAGCAACGCCGCGUGAGUGAAGAAGGUUUUCGGAUCGUAAAGCUCUGUUGUAAGUCAAGAACGAGUGUGAGAGUGGAAAGUUCACACUGUGACGGUAGCUUACCAGAAAGGGACGGCUAACUACGUGCCAGCAGCCGCGGUAAUACGUAGGUCCCGAGCGUUGUCCGGAUUUAUUGGGCGUAAAGCGAGCGCAGGCGGUUUGAUAAGUCUGAAGUUAAAGGCUGUGGCUCAACCAUAGUUCGCUUUGGAAGCUGUCAAACUUGAGUGCAGAAGGGGAGAGUGGAAUUCCAUGUGUAGCGGUGAAAUGCGUAGAUAUAUGGAGGAACACCGGUGGCGAAAGCGGCUCUCUGGUCUGUAACUGACGCUGAGGCUCGAAAGCGUGGGGAGCGAACAGG
RNAcentral lists this ribosomal RNA (765 nucleotides) under uncultured Streptococcus sp. RNAcentral's name for it is "bacterial SSU rRNA". It matches the Rfam family "Bacterial small subunit ribosomal RNA", at positions 28 to 776 of the family's 1533-position model. The record is from RNAcentral. Lineage: Bacteria; Bacillati; Bacillota; Bacilli; Lactobacillales; Streptococcaceae.